GUAAAGAUCAUUUAUGAAAUAGAUUAGCAUGGGACUAAAAAA
Molecule: small RNA, 42 nt
Filed under: Plasmodium falciparum 3D7
Lineage: Eukaryota; Apicomplexa; Aconoidasida; Haemosporida; Plasmodiidae
Description: Pfa-mtR49
Source: RNAcentral